Molecule: long non-coding RNA, 1761 nt
Filed under: Mytilus galloprovincialis (Mediterranean mussel)
Lineage: Eukaryota; Metazoa; Mollusca; Bivalvia; Mytilida; Mytilidae
Source: RNAcentral
CAUAUCUUUUGUGAGAGUUGUGUUACAGUCUGGUUUGAUCGAGAAAAGACAUGCCCGAUGUGUAGGACUCAGAUCCAUGCGGAGAAUCCAGAGUGGAAAGAUGGAUCAACAAGUGUCCACAUUCAGUGGUAUUGAAAGUUCCAAAUAAUAACAUUAGAAAUCAACAAAGUGGUAGAUUUAAGACAAAAGAGAUAGCUGAUUAUAUCAGUAAAAGUUUUUUGGCAUUGAUGGAUGGGGAUUAUUUACUGUGGAUUCAUAUAUUUUCAUUAGUACCAAUUUUCUUGGAUUGAGGAAAACUUACACUUUCGUGGAUAUUUAAUUUCAUCGUAUUGCCAAAAUCUGCACCCGCAAAAUCAACUAAAAUUGGUUUCAAACGAAAAUAAAUGAAUCCACAGUAUCAGAAAAGUUUUUUGGCAUUGAUUGAUGGGGAAUAUUUACUGUAUAUUCAUUUAUUUUCAUCGGAACCAAUUUUCUUGGAUUGAAGAAAACUUACUUUUUCGUGGUUAUUUGAUUUCUUGGUAUUGCCAAAGUCUAUAACCUUGAGUACAUUUGUAAUUCGUUGAACACUAAAUUUGAUGGUUUAUAUCUGUACCAUCAAAAUCCACAAAAAUUAUUAUCAAACGAAUAAUAGUGGGUCUCAUUGGGGUCUAAGCGUGUUGCGGGAUUGCCGAUUUUUUGUAAGCGUGACAUGUGAAAGUCAAAUUAUUAUGCCGUGAAAACGGGAAAUGAAGUCUAGCGGGACACGGGAAAUUACAAAAAAAUGAGAAUUGCUUACGUAUAUAAUGUAAGCGGGAUACGGGAAUCUGAAAAAACAGUAAGCGUGAUCCAGGAUCAGAACCCCCCAAUGAGACCCCCAUAAUAAGGAAUCCACAGUAUGACUUUAUUGUUAUUAGGGGUAGUGGACACAUUUGUUUUUUAAUUGUUUUCUGGGGUAAAAUAAUGUAUUGCUUAUAAUUGUUAUUAUAAUUAUUAUAUUUUAAUUAAUAUAGUGUCAAAAAAAUGAAAGUGAGGCUCUUUUAUGAGAAUUUGUAUGUACUGGUAUAAACAUAAAAAGCCAAUGAUUUUGUUAUAGGUAAAAUUUUAAAUAAAAGUAAAUAUACAUUUUACAAAAACCAUACAUGCAUUACCUGUGUGUCACCUAGCACAUGAUUUAUUAGUUGUUUUAAGAUCAUGUUAAAUAAAUAAUAGUUUUUUCAUCUUUGCUCCUUUGUACAAAGUUAGAAUGUUUAUGACACUACUAUAAAUACCUAUACACCAUGUACACAUACAGAAACAAGAAACUUAAAUGUGGUAUAUAGUCCUGGAUUUUAUGGGCAUGCAUUGGUACUUUUAAAUUUUGAAUAUUAUGUUUUUGAAAGCUUAUAAAAAUGGUGGUAUAUAUAUAUCCUAUUUCUGGAAAUCUACAUUCUACAUGAAGUACUUUUUAAUAUUAAAACACUGGUUCUUCCAGAGGUAUGUUACAACUGAGAAAUGGUAUUUUGAAAUGUUAAAUUGUUUGAGAUGUUUUCCUUGAUACUUUUACAGCACAACAAAAUGUCUUUUGUCAUAUUGCAGCCAACAUCAAUCUGUUAUUUUAGGUUUGCAGUCCGCACUCCAAUGCCAUAUAAACACAUUUAUUUUAAAUCAGUACAGUUAUGUCAUAGUUGACUGUUUUUAAUAAUCAUGUUAUUGCUAAGUGGUGAUAUUCCUAUUAUUUCCAAUAUACUUUGUUUACUAAGUUUGAUUAUAUUAAUAAAUUGUGUUUUUGUUUUUGAAAUUAUA